AAUAUAUAUAUAUAUAAUGUCAUUGUGUUGAUGAUGCCGUAUUAAUUUAAAUUAUCAUAUACUCUAUAACUUAUAAAUAGUAUUAUUGUGCAAUGUUGUGAGAAAUUCACACCACAACGACGGUUAUUUGCAAGCAACAUAUAUACGGACCAAAAUCGCGAGAGUCACAUCGCGACCACAACUCGAAUGAGACUAUUUUUUAAAAUCUUGCAGGCAUCCAUUAGAGUUAAGUAUAACUAUAAUACCUAAAUAAAAUAAAUAACAAUAUAUUCAAAUUCACCACUUCUGUCUCAAGUUGAAUAGCUAUUCUCGACCGUUGUUAGGUCAUUCACAAAUGAUAUCGCAACAUAUUAAUAAUUAAAAAUUAGUGGUUAAUAGACAAAGAUAAUGCCUUUUAAUAUAAAAAUAAUCUUCGCUUUCUCAAUCGCCAAAAUAAAUAGCACGAACAUAUUCAAUCUUUAGUGACCAAUAGCGAUCGGAGACAAUUUUUUUUGUAGUAUUAUCAAAUUAGUAUCCAAAACUUGAGUCUCUAAAUGAUAUUUCUAAUGUUGUGCUUGACUUUAAGAUGAAUGUAAUAAUUAGAUAUGGAAUAUAUAUUAAUUCCGUGUUAAAUUUAAAAUAAAAUGUAAGUUAAGUUAAAGAAAAAUCUCAAUUAUUAAAAUUUUAUAGUUAAUGUAGGGUGAAAACUGACAUAACAAAAUAAUUUUUAAUUUAAAUACUAAAAAUACUAUAAGAUUGUAAUGAAUGUAUGAAAAAUGAAUACUUGAAUUGAUACCUAAAAUUUAUAAAAAGAGAUAGUCUAAGUAAUAUUAAUUGAGACCUUAUUUUAUUUCAUAGCCUUCAUCUUAGAUUAUAAAGUCAUAAAAAUACAAUUCUUGAAAUUAAAUAAGAAAAUAAAAACAAAAGUUAAGUGACAGCACAAUUGAUAUAGUGAAAUUGGCCACUCUCUUGGAUAAUGAUCCUAUAUACUCCCUCUGUUUUUAUAUAAGUUUUUUUGGGAAGAAAAUUUAUAAUAAAAUAUAAAUUUGUUUUGUAAUACUACAAAAUUAUUAAUAUUAUUUUUUAAUUCUGUUCCAUACAGAAUGAUUAUUUUUUUAAGAUGUGUGGAAAAUAAAAAACAAUUUAUAAAAAGCAGAGAUAAUAUAAUAUUAAGAAGAUAUAAACUCUUCUGCCGCUGCUACACAUCUACACCAACUACUGACACACUUUACUGUCUUAGGUUCUUCACACAAAUAUGGAAGACAACCCGAAUCAGUAGAACAUCGAUAGAACACGGCUGUGAGGAUAAGAGAUGAUAAAGUAAUCAAAAUCAUAUUGGUCAAAAUAUUGUGUACAAAUUAAAUAAGAAAGUUUGAAAAACAUAAAAAUGACUUACAUUCAACAACGUUUAUAGAAGCAAAACAUAGAAAAGAUAUGAUAAUUGUCACAUAAACAAACUUUAUAAUUUUAGCCAUAUUUCUUCUCUUUUCCAUGUAAUAAAUGGUUUUAUCAUUUUAUACUUAUAAAGUUCAUCCUCUGUUACAUCAGUAAAAUAUUGUUUUAGCUCUUGCAGAAAUGCAAAAAAACACUUUGUUAAAUUAUUAUUAAAUAUCACUUCAUUAAAUUAUAAUGAUGAUCAAAUGUCCCAUAUGUUGUUUAUUAAUGUAUUAGAUAGAGAUGAUAAUUUGAUUUUAAUGAUUAUUUAUAAACUACUCACAUUAAAUAGAAUAAAGAUUCAUAAAAAUAAAUAUGGAUACAUGUUCACGCAAUUAUCCAAUAAAAUAAAUGGUAUAUAUAUGAGCAUGAAUAAUAUAUAUAUAUAUAUAUAUAUAUAUAUAUAUAUAUAUAUAUAUAUAUAAAAGAUUAAUUGAAAUACAUUUUUAGUAUAAAAGAAUUUUAUACAGUCACUUAAUUAUAACCGUUGGAUGUUGGGACAAGUUUGAUUUUUAUUUUAAAAAUCUAUAAAGUAAUGCAAAUCGAUGAUGGUGAUGAAUCGAUUGCGUAAAACUUUUUACACUGACAGUGCAUAUUAAUUAAUCCAUAUAUAUAUAUAUAUAUAUAAUAUUAUAUAUAAUAUAUAAUAUAUAAAAUUAUUAUAUUUAUAUAUAUAUUUAUAUAUAUAUAUAUAUAUAUAUAUAUAUAAUAUAUAUAUAUAUAUAUAUAUAUAUAUAUAUAUUAUGACCAAACGACAUCAAGGUGUCAAAUUUAAUAAUAUGUCAUCUUUGAUCAUUCUUUACCGCGUAUUCCUAUAAUAAAAUUCACCAUUAGAUUGAAAGCUAUUAUCAUAUAAAUCAUGUUUAUAAAAUUUAACAUCAAUCGAAAAUGAUUUGAUAUGUCAAUAAGAUGCUUGAAAACUAACUUUUAAAAAUUUCAACAAAUUGUUAUCAUUCUCUUUAACAUAUCAAAUUUUAUUUAUUUAUGUUAAAUUUUAUAGACAUGAUCUAUAUGACAAUAGAUUUUAAUCCAACAAUGAAUUUUGUUAUAGGGAUAUCUAGAAAAAAAUAUGAUAAUUGUCACAUAAACAAACUUUAUAAUUUUAGCUAUAUUUCUUUCCUUUUCCAUGUAAUAAAUGGUUUUAUCAUUUUAUAAUUAUAAAGUUCAUCAUUUGUUACAUCAGUAAAAUAUUGUUUUAGCUCUUUCAGAAAUGCAAAAAACACUUUGUUAAAUUAUUAUUAAAUGUCACUUCAUUAAACUAUAAUGAUUAUUAAAUGUCCCAUAUGUUGUUUAUUAAUGUAUUAGAUAGAGAUGAUAAUUUGAUUUUAAUGAUUAUUUAUAGAAAUAAUCACAUUAAAUAGAAUAAAAAUUCAUAAAAAUAAAUAUGGAUACAUGUUCACGAAAUUAUCCAAUAAAAUAAAUGGAUAUAUAUCUUAACAUGAAUAAAUAUAUAUAUAUAUAUCUAAAUAAAAUAAAUUAGGGUUAAGUAUAACUAUAAUACCUAAAUAAAAUAAAUAAUAAUAUAUUUAAAUUCACCACUUCUGUCUCAAGUUGAGUAGCUAUUCUCGACCAUUGUUAGGUCAUUCACAAACGAUAUCGCAACAUAUUAAUAAUUAAAAAUUAGUAGUUAAUAGAAAAAGAUAAUGCCUUUUAAUCUAAAAAUAAUCUUCGCUUUCUCAAUCGCCAAAAUAAAUAGCACAAACAUAUUCAAUCAAUAGUGACCAAUAGCGAUCGGAGACAAAUUUUCUUGUAGUAUUAUCAAAUUAGUAUCCAAAAUUCUAAUGUUGUCCUUGACUUUAAGAUGAAUGUAAUAAUUAGAGAUGGAAUAUAUAUUAAUUCCGUGUUAAAUUAAAAUAAAAUGUAAGUUAAAUUAAAGAAAAAUCUCAAUUAUUAAAAUUUUAUAGUUAAUGUAGGGUGAAAACUGACAUAAAAAAAUAAUUUUCGAUUUAAAUACUAAAGAUAUUAUAAGAUUGUAAUGAAUGUAGGAAAAAUGAAUACUUGAAUUGAUACCUAAAAUUUAUAAAAAGAGAUAGUCUAAGUAAUAUUAAUUGAGACCUUAUUUUAUUUCAUAGCCUUCAUCUUAGAUUAUAAAGUCAUAAAAAUACAAUUCUUGAAUUAAAUAAGAAAAUAAAAACAAAAGUUAAGUGACAGCACAAUUGAUAUAGUGAAAUUGGCCACUCUCUUGGAUAAUGAUCCGAUAUACUCCCUCUGUUUUUAUAUAAGUUUUUUGGAAAGAAAAUUUAUAAUAAAAUAUAAAUUUGUUUUGUAAUACUAAAAAAUUAUUAAUACUAUUUUUUAAUUCUGUUCCAUACAGAAUGAUUAUUUUUUUAAGAUGUGUGAAAAAUAAAAAACAAUUUAUUAAAAGCAGAGAUAAUAUAAUAUUAAGAAGAUAUAAACUCUUCUGCCGCUGCUACACAUCUACACCAUUUUCUGACACACUUUACUGUCUUAGGUUCUUGACACAAAUAUGGAGGACAGCCCGCAUCAUUAGAACAUCGAUAGAACACGGCUGUGAGGAUAAGAGAUGAUAAAGUAAUGAAAAUCAUAUUGGUUAAAAUAUUGUGUACAAAUUAAAUAAGAAAGUUUGAAAAACAUAAAAAUGACUUACAUGCAACGUUAUUAGAAGCAAAAAAUAGAAAAAAUAUUAUAAUUGUCACAUAAACAAACUUUAUGAUUUUGGCCAUAUUUCUUCCCUUUUCCAUGUAAUAAAUGGUUUUACCAUUUUAUAAUUAUAAAGUUCAUCCUUAGUUACAUCAGAAAAAUAUUAUUUUAACUCUUGGAGAUUUGCAAAAAAAAACCCUUCGUUAAAAUUAUUAUUAAAUGUCACUUCAUUAAAUUAUAAUGAUUAUUAAAUUUCCCAUAUGAUUAUUAAUGUAUUGCGUAUAUAUGAUAAUUUGACUCAUCUUUAAUGGUUAUUCAUAAAAUCACUUAUAAUAAAUAUAAUAAAAAUUCGCAAAAAAAAACGAAUACGAGUUCAAGUAAUUAUCCAAUAAAAUAAGCGGGUAUGAAUGUGCACAUGAGCAUUAUUGUACAAAUAUAUAUAAUAAGAUCAAAUGACAUCAAAUUGUCAAAUUUAAUAAUAUGUCAUCUUUGAUAAUUCUUUACCGCAUAUUCGUAUAAUAAAAUCUACCGUUAGAUCACUACGCCAAAUAAGGGAAAAGAGGGCGCUUAUUUUGGCCUAUAACAGCACUUUUAAGCGCCCUUUAAUCUGGCGCUGGCAUAGGUAAAGACAGCGCUUUGUUUUCCUGGAGAAAGCGCUGUCUAAAGGGCCACAUUAUAGUGCGCUUUAUGAAAAAAGCGCCCUCUGGAGUGGUCCAUAAACGGACACCUUAGAGGGCGCUUUCUGGAAAAAGCGCCCUCUAAAGUUGUCAAUGUAAAGUGUUUAGAGGGCGCUUUCUGGAAAAAGCGCCCUCUAAAGUUGUCAAUGUAAAGUGUUCAGAGGGCGCUUAUUUUUUUAGAAAAGCAGAAGGAUUUUUUUAAGCAAAAAUCUAGUUGGAAAGGGAACAAUAUCAAAAUUAACAAAAUUUUUUUCCCAAUUUGAAAAUUGUUUUUUUAAAAAAAAUUUUCUAUAAAACAAACAAUGAAUUCUUUAAAAACAUAAGAUAAAAAAAACAUAUAAUUCUCCAAUUUCCAUCUUUAACGCCAAAAAACUGGGAAAUAGACCAGCGCCCUUUAGAAGGGCGCUUUUAUUACAAAAGCGCACUCCUAAAAGUGGAGAAAAAAAUAAGGAAAGCAUACAUUGGAAAAUUAGAACCAAGCGCACUUAAGAGGGCGCUUUUGUAACAAAAGCGCACUUCUAAAGUGAGAGCGGAUAAAAAUAAUGCGUGUGAACGGGAAACCAAUAGAGGACGCCUUUAUUGAAAGCGCCCUCUAAGGGUAACCUUAAGGGCGCUUUUAUUAAGAGAGCGCUCGGUUCUUCAGUCGCAAGUUGUUACAAUUUGUCCGAGGUUGUUCCUUUAUAAGACCGUGUUUUUUGGGAAAGCGUAGGAGACGGUCGGUUUUUCAGAUCAGUGCGCGGCCGUGUGCCUCGUGGUGGGGUGCCUGUUAGAGGCGCUUCGUGUAGCGGAAUGAAAUAGGGCGUCGCGCUCUCGUCUCUAAAGUGGGUGGAUGAGAAGUUCAAAGUGGAAAAAAGUGAGAAUGAGGAAAGGGAGUGGAGGGCGACUGUACAAGUGAGUGGAUGUGCGUGGGCUGUUGUGAUUUUGCGUCGUCGUAGAGUUGGAAAGCGCCUGUCGUUGAGAGCGUGGUUACCCUUAGGGAGGUGGGUCGGCGGUUUUGUGGUUACAGAAAUGGCGGUGCUGGCGGGGCUCUGUUUCGCUCCGCUGUAGUCGAUGGGUCCCGUCGACAGUUGUACAUUUUGCCAAGGUUGUUAGACGAGCAAGGGGGGCUGGUUCUUUUGCUUGGGUAAUAGCCUGUAUGAGUAGAUUGCGCUUUUUCAGAGCGCCCUCUUAGGCCGCCCUUUAGAGGGCGCUUUUUUUUACAAAGCGGCCUCUAAGGUCCCCUUAGUACAUUGGUGUUUGAAAAUUAGUUACGUACGGUUUAGUUUUAUGCGUUGUCAAUGGUACGUGCCUGCUCUUUGUAUUUUGUCCCUUUCUCUCACAGCUAUUUGCGUGUUUACGUAAUCGGUGAGUUUCUCGUCUAGUCCUGCUGGUUCCAUGCGUGUUCUUACUGGCGAUGUACUUCUGUCCGUCGGUCGGUUUGUUGUCUCCCUCCUCACGUCGUCGUCGCGUCGCCUGUUGUUUUUUGCUGCUUUGGUUGGCGGUUCACUUGUUCACGUCACCGUUCACUGUUCACUUUUUCUUCUCCAUCGUUUACGUUGCGGCUGGUGGGUCGACCUGUGUGUUUGUUGAAGUGUUCGCUGUCUGUCGGCAGUUCUGUUACGUCCGGCGUGGUUUUGCAGCUCGUGGGUCUGGGAUUGUGUUGGGUUGCUUUUCGUUGCUAUUCCAGGGCCGUGUUGUUGACUUCUUUAGGGCAUUUUCUAAACUUAGUUUUACAUUUUGUGCAUUAUCUUUCGAUUUCGGAUGCUUUGGGGUUUACUGGUGGCUAGACACGCUGGAUUGUGAUUGGUGUUGUUGUAUUGUUUCGUUGUGGAUUAAGAUGUUCGGUAUUGAUGUGUGAAGUGGUGCUGUGGACAGCUGUUUGUGCGGGCUGCUUUUCGGGCUGGAGCGUUUUGAGUUCUGAUUUGGAUCGGCGAAGUUGUUGGUGCAUGUGUUGUCCAAAGCACCAUACGGGGGGUGUUGUCAGUUGGGUCGUCUUUGCGCAGAUUGCUAUGUGUGAGGGCUGGUGUGUGUGAGUUGGCUAUUUGGUCUUGUUGCUUAUGGUCAGUAGUGUCGUUUUGCCAUGAGAAAUGGAAAAGGGUAUAAUGUGACGAUGUGUGUGUUUGUGCCGCGGGUAUUGACAGUCGAUCUGUGGUUAUCUGUGGUUGUGGUCGUCUGGGUAUUUGUAGUUGAUUUCUACUGUUCCAGAUAUGAUAGGAUGGCUUUCAACCAAGACGAGGUACCGGGCUGGUCGCAUGUGGGGCUGUCGUGUGUGCGAGAUUGUGAUCAUUACUCGUGUGUUGGGUCACUUGCAGUUCGUUGUAGAGGAAAGAGGCGAAGUUUAUACGAUCGAGGGGAUUGAGGUUGGGUUUAUGAAGGCUUUCAUAAUUGGCGCUUGGCGGGAGAGCAUGAUGUGGGGUUGUGUAAACUGUGAUAAGUGCAUUGCUGUCUAGUGGUGCGUGGGAGAGUUUUACAACUAAUUGAGCUUCUUGAAUGGUUCAAUGGAUUUUGGCAAGUGGUACGAUUGGUUUUGCCUCUGUAUCGCGAGGGCAAGUAUAUUGUUCUCGAUUGACAUGUGAGAUGUGUGAUGAGUCACGGGUGCUGCUCAUGUCCCGGUUUGCGGUGUUUGCGGUCCGUGAUGGCGCGCUUCUUGGGUUGAAGGUUUGGCAAGGAAACUAAUGUAUGGUCGGAAGAUUCAGUCUUACCUAUAUUGUUAUAUGUUUUUUGUUGACUAUUGUUAACCCAUAUAUUGUUAUAAUAUGAUUUAUAAAACACACUCCAUUUGUAUGUUUUUUAGAGAUCCUUUCACAUCGAUGAAAGCCAGCAAAAAUAUUGUAUUCAAUUGGCCGGAAAAAGACUCCGAGGAUUUCGAUCCUUUUUGUGCAACAAAUUUCUCAAGGAUGAGGAAGGAAAAUUUUUCAAGGAGAACGGCAAUGAAGUAUGCCGAGAUUAUUUCAGCCGAUGAAUGGGAUAACUUUGUCGCCAAACGAAGAAACGAAAAAUUCCAUGUAAUUUCUAUUAAUUAUGGUAUUAUACAAUUGUAAGUUACUUGGUUCUAAUAUGCCUUAAACUUUUUAUCCAGGAAGUAAGCGACAUAAAUUAGCGAAAAGGGCAUUCAAAACCCGCGUAUCUGUACAAAAGGGGUACGUGUGCUGCGAGCUGAGCAUACAAGGUGUAAUCAAAUGCAUGAGCUUAUACAUUGACUGUAUAAUGAUAUAUGAUCUUAUAAUCUCAUUCAAUGUGUUAGCUAGCCGAGGAGAAAGUGACGCAACAUCUCUUCCGGACCACGUAUUAUGGAAGGCUGCUCGGGUGGGAGGAUGGGGCUGUCGUUGAAGCGGUCCAAAAUGUUUAUGACUAAUGUGUAAGUAUAUGUGACAUUAUUUCUUUAAUUAUACUCGAAAAUUUGUUAGACAUAUAAUUCAUUUUAAUCUCCUCUAAUAAUAUUCAGGAGACUUUAUCAAACCGACCUUCAACGCAGGUCAGAUGCAAGCGUACUUGCGAGUACUAAAUUUCUGAGUAUUCCGGUCGUGGUAGGGGGUAAGGGUUUGGUGUGACUCCGUCGUCAUUUUAUAAAAAAACAAAAACAAAAAAAUCCUACCAACAAAGAGGUGAUGGAGACCUGGCGAGUUAAGGGCACAAUAUCCAACUGAACAAAACGAGAAUGCAAGGUAUAGGAGGAAAGGUGCGCUUCCGAGGCAAAAGAUACUAGUGACCGAGCUAGUAUCAAUCAUCAAACCGAAUUUCCCGAGGUAUAUAUAUAUGUUAUUAUGAAAUAAAAAAUAGCACUUUUUUCUUGACACAUAUACUAGAGUUAACAAUAACAUUUAUUAUUGGUUUAAGGCAUUCACCUUGUCAGCUUGUAUCUAUCGUACCGCAACUUAUCGCAUGGUUGGCAAGGGAAAAGUGCACAAUACUUCGGGUGAAUUACUUCACCAUAAUCCCUCCCGGUGGGAUUGUGAUUGAAAGGUUGUGGUGACCCUCGUAUUAGAUACGAGCCGCGUCUACCAUUCCCCGACGUUGUGUGCAGAGGACAACGUUGUGAUGCAGAUGCAGUCGGAUCUUGUGUGGUUGUGCCGUCAGUCUAAUUUUCCCUAUGCCGAGGUAUAUAGUUCUAAAUGAUUAUGAAUAUUUAUAUUCACAUUUCAAUUCAGCUACAAUUAUGAAUUUUAAUCAAUCCUUAUUACAUGGUAAUGUUUAGACUCCUACAAGACCCACCCUAAAGCUGGUAAGCGGGAUUUCAAGACGCAUCGAGGUGCUGCAUCUCAAAAAGGAGUACAAUAAUAUAUAUCCCAUUGAAUUAUAUACACAACGAUUUUUUGGCAUCACAAAAAGUAAUGAUUAUUUUAAUAUGAAUUUUUAGGUUCCCGGUCGAAAGUUGAAAGCGAUGGUAAGGUAUUCCACGGAUCGAGAUCAUCAACGACGGCCGGGACAAAAUCUCAAAUUAUGAUGCGUCUUGAGAAAAUGGUGGAAGAGUCCGAUUAUGAUGCAACAACUUUCGUUAUGAUGCGUCUUGAGAAAUCUCAAAUUAUGAUGCAACAACUUUUGAGCACGACGAAUUGGGCAUCGCUAUCAUUCAUACAUACAUAUGGUAUUCCGAUCAUCUAUAAUUUACUUAGUUGAACAAUUUAUUUACACACUUCAAUGUAAGUCUAAUAUUUAUUAUGUUUCUAUUUAAGGUAUAUGUAUGACAAAUUGAUGCGGGGAACUGAAUUGUGUAACCGUUUCAAUUUUAUUGCUGCUUCCCGUGUCAACGCAACGUUAAUAUCGAAAAAUCCAACAUCCGUAAAGAAUGAUCUAGUCGAUACGAUUCAUGCGGCCGGCAAUAUCUACAGCGCAGUUGUAUUUUUUACCGUUUUUUCUUAUUCGGCAACCGGUUGUGGAUUUUCUUUCUAAUAAUUUUCAUUCUAUCAUCUAUGUAUAUCUUUUACGUAAAAAUUUCAUUCAUGCUAAAUUUUUUGUUUUAUUUACAGUGGUCACUGGGUUGUUUGCUAUGGAUCUUUCGAGACUAAUAGUGUAUUAUCUCAAUUCGUUAUCGGUGAUUGGAGUAAUAUCCGGUUUGAAGAAGACGGUUGACACGUAAGUGAAUUUCCCUAAAUUCUGUGUUAUUUCUAUAUUUAAUAUGUCUGUCAGAUUGAUCUCAAUAUACGUUUUUAUUUUGUUAGGGCAAUAAUAAAAUUUAGAUCGAAAAAGAAUUACCGCAUUAGGAAGGACAUUACCUGGGUCAGAGUUCAGGUAAAUAUUAAGUAUCUUAUUUUUGCUUAUAAUAGUGUUUUGUUUUUGCUAUAAUAAGUGUUGUAAGAAAUUAACUAUAUAUAUAUUGUUUGUUUUCUGUGUAGUGUCCUCAGCAAAAUAAUUCGGUCGAUUGCAGAUUUUUUGUAUUGAGGAUUUAUGAGAGAUAUCAUUGCGUUGAAUCGUAUAGACAUCCCAAAAAUGGUAUGGAAUAAUAACUUAGGGUUUAUUUAAUAUUAUCGGAUAACUCAUCUAAUUUGUUACUAAAUCAUGAAUAUGUUUUAUCUCUUAAUUGUAGUACUUGAGGAAUACAAAUUUACUCAAGAGCUCAUUUGGAUGAAAUGAAGGAUGAAUUGUGUCAAUUCAUUGUUGAUCAAGAAAUCAUAUAGCUAGGUUGUAUAUUGUUGUACAUAUAUGUAUGGAAUGUUGUUGUUGUAUGCUGUUGUUGUAUAUAUGUUGUAUAUUGUUGUUGUACUUUUACUAAAUCAUGAAUAUGUUGUUGUAUAUUGUUGAUCAAAGAAUCAUAUAUUAAUGUUGUAUAUAUGGAGAUUAAUGUUGUAUAUAAAUGGAUUCAUGUUGUAUAUAUCAAUGGAUUAAUGGUGUAUAACAUUGGAUUAAAGGAUGAAAUCAUAUGAAUUUUACACUUUGCAGCAUGCGAACAGGUUACCAAUAAAUAUCCACUGUUUUUCAAACAAUUUUUUUAAAAUAACUAACACUUUAGAGGGGCGCUUUCUGUAGGAAGCGCCCUCUAAACACUUUACAUUGAGAACUUUAGAGGCGCUUUGUAGANUUAGAGUGCGCUUUGUUACAAAAGCGCCCUCUAAAGUGCGCUGUCUAUUCCAAUAGUAUGCUCCUUAUUUUUUCUCUUCACUUUAGAGUGCGCUUUUGUAAUAAAGCGCCCUCUAAGGGGCGCUGUCUAUUCCAGUUUUUGGCGUAGUGGAUUGAAAUAUAUUAUCAUAUAGAUCAUGUUUAUAAAUUUAACAUCAAUUGAAAUGUAUUUGAUAUGUCAACUAGAUGCUUAAAAAUUAAUGUUUUACAAAACUUCAACAAAAUUGUUAAUUUUGAUCAUUAUCUUUAAUAUAUCAAAUGAUUUUUUAUUGAUGUUAAGUUUUAUAGACAUGAUCUAUAUGACAAUAGUCCAACAUUGGAUUUUGUUAUUAGGAUAUCUAGUAAAGAGUUAUCGAAUGUUUCAUGUUAUUAAGUUCGACACAUUGGUGUCAUUUGAUCUCUCUCUCUCUCUCUCUCUCUCUCUCUCUCUCUCUCUAUCUAUCUAUCUAUCUAUCUAUCUAUCUAUCUAUCUAUAUAUAUAUAUAUAUANAUAUAUAUGAAUUAUUAUAAAAAACUAAAUUUCUAUCAAUUUUCAAAAAUACAUCAAUAUUAAACUAUUACAUAUUUAAUCUAAGUGUUAGUUUAUUUAGUAAUUCAACAGUAAAUUUUUUGAUAACCUUUUAAUGUUCUUAAAAACUUAAAACAAUAUGAUAUUUUAUACUUGAUAGACAAAUCUAUUGUGGAACUUUAUAAAUAAAAAUAUAUAUUAAAAAAUAAACAUAUCAUCAAUUUUCUAUGAAAAACCGUGAGAGGAAGACCAAAAUUGUUUGAAUUUAAAAUAGAAAGAUUAAUUUCGUGAUUCAGACAAUAUUUUUACUAGAAAUGCGAGUAACGGGUAUGGGUAUUGUAACAUCAUAAACCCUAAAACUUAUUUUAAGAAUUAUAGGACAAUCAAGGGUGUCACCAAUGACAAAAACUUUAAGAAAACAAACAUUUAACAAUCAGCGGAACAUUGCAGCGGAAUUACUAACGUUAAUCAACAUUUGUCAUCGCACGCUCACCUUCACUUAGGGUAUCAUGGCGGCGAUAUAUAUUUCUAUCAAGUUUCAAAAAUACAUCAAUGUUAAACCAUUACAUAUUUAAUCUAAGUGUUCGUUUAUUUAAUAAUUCAAUAGUAAAUCUUUUGAUAACCUUUUAAUGUUCUUAAAAAUUUAAAAUAAUAUGUUAUUUUAUACUUGAUAGAUAAAUCUAUUGUGGAACUUUAUAGAUAAAAAUAUAUAUUAAAAAAAUAAACAUACCAUCAAUUGUUUAUGAAAAAUAUGAGUGGGAGACCAAAAUUGUUUGAAUUUAAAAUAGGGGAACUAAUUUCGUGAAUCAGACAAUAUUUUUACUAGAAAUGCAGGUAACGGGUACGAGUAUUGUAACACCCUAAACCCCGCAACUUAUUUUAAGAAUUACACGACAAUCAAGGGUGUCGCCAAUGACAAAACCUUUAACAAAACAAACAUUUAAUAAUCCACGAAACAUUGCAGCGGAAUUACUAACGUCAACCAACAUCUGUCAUACACGCUCAUAGUCACAACAAGACAUUUAACCUUAAUUUCCAGUUAAAUAAAAUAUUUUCAAAAAUAGAGUUCUCAUAAGCAACUCUCAACAACUCCAAAAUAGAAUCAAUUAAAGUUUUAAACUCCAAUAAAACAUAUAAUGUUCCCGACCCCGAUGUUAUAAAAUAAGAGCAAGACUUCUAAUAAUGAAAACUAAAUGAAGUAACUCCAUGAGCUAACUUACAUUUACAACAGCAAACUCCACUUCUGAGUAUCUGCAAGAUGUCCAUGGUGGACAACAUCAAAGUAAAGGGGGUGAGAAACAACAAACCAAUAUAAAUAGUGUAAAGAAUGCUAACAUAGAGAAUACACAACAAACAAACAUUCAUUACACAUCCAACAAUAAUAUGUUCUCACACCCAAAUCAUAACAACACUUAGAGAUUCACAUCCAAUCAAUAACAUGUUCUCACACUCAAAUCAUGACAAUAUUUACAUAUUCACAUCCAAUCAAUGAGAUCAUGAAUAAUCAACUACAUAUACAACAAUAUAUGUAAAUGUACUCCACAACUGACUUAUUAUGCAUGAGGUACCAUUCAUGAACACUCAUGUUCAUCUCGCUCCUGAUCUCCAUCAUAGGACUAGAUCACACCAAAUCGUUAUCAUCACCAUAAAUAACACUUCAUCGAUGCCCACCUAAAACCGACUACCCGCUCCCGAUCCCCACCAUAGGACCAGAGCACACUAAAGUUUGUUACCAUCAUCAUAGGUAACGCUUUAUCGAUUCCCAUAUUAAACCAGCUACUCACUCUCGAUCCAAACCACCAGACUAUAGCACACCAAAACUGGAAUGAAGUUCGUACACCAUGAUGCAUGACUCUCAACAACAUGCAUUAUCACCAAAAAGUUCACCAAAAUGAUCACCAUACACAUCUAAUCAUUUAUGCACUACAUCAUUCAUCAUACACAAUAAUCAAUCAAUGUUAUGACACCAAUAAACAACAACAAAUAACAUCAACUCAAUAAACAUAACAUCAUAAUCAUUUAUCCAUGUUACUUUACCAAAACAACAAUACAUCAUCGUAUAAACUAACGAUUCACUAACCGAACAUACAAGUCAUCACAAAUAUCCCUAUAGUAGGUAAACGACUAGAACUCAAACAUUUCACCAAACUCUACCGUGAGGUAGCUCUGCGUGUUAUCUUUCUAACGUUUCAAACGGUGCGUCAUUUGGACCUACGAAUCAAAAGCGGCCAAAAUCUUCGGACAACACAACAAAAACAAAAGCAUAACUUUUCACCAUUUGGCCUAUGACAAUCGAUUGUCAGCAAAAUACGUUUCGCUAUUGACUUCAUAAAAAAAUACUUUUUUGGGAUAUGCAAUCAAUUGUCAUCUAGUGCAAUCAGUUAUCAGCAAAACACGUUUCGCUACUGACUUCAUAAAAAAUCACUUUUUUCGGAUAGGUAACCGAUUGUGAUUUGGUGCAAUCGGUUGCACUGAUAUUUCUUUUCAAAAUUUGUACUAAUGCAAUCGAUUGUUACUGUAGUUUUUUUUCCAAAAAUUCGCGUUUUCAUCAUACGAUUUCCACCCCCUUACCCCUAAACCUUCAUACACGUCUCCAACUAAUUUUCCCCAAAAUCCAUUUAUUCAAAAACAAAUUUGACAGUGAUUCAUGUUAGCAUAAUCAUUAACAUAAACAACACAUAUUUCACUAUAAUCCAUAAGAAUCUGAUCAAUAACUUUAACAUCAAAUUCCUCAUCAAUGGCAUAACCUCAUACAUACAUAUUCAGGAUCAUUCAAACAUAUAACACAAGAUCAAUCAACCAAUUUUCAGAUUUCAUUAUAUAACACAUCAUCAAAAAAAAACCUAGAACACUGAUGAGAUUAAGGACUUCUCAUCUCUACCCCCAUCAUGUAAUACACCUAAAUUGGUAGCCCUCCCCCUCCCCCUUACCUUAAACUUCCAUCAGUAUGCAACUUUAAACUCUAACAAUGGAGUCUUCCUCUAGCCCUAGCAUUUGCCUCUUUUCAACACAAAAUUUUGUUUACGUAAAUUUUUCCAAAACUCUCUUCCUUUAAAUAUAACUUAGGGUUUUCUACACACUUCUUUCCAAUUACCUUAUUAACCCUUACCUUUCUUAAUUCAGAUUAUUACCCCAAACUCCCUAACUCAUUGCUCCCGUCUAUUUCUCUAAAUCUCACUGAUAACCCAAUUCUAUUAUUUUACUAUUUAUUUAAUUAAUUCAAAUAAAAUAUUAUUUAUUCUAAUAAUUAAUCAAAAUUCUAGUUAAUUCUAAACAAUCACACCAACUCUUACUCUCUCUAUACCGAUACUCCAAGGAUACUUACCUCCCCACAAUCACACAACAAUAAUUUAAGAACAUCAAUCAAUCAGAUAAAUUAUAAAUAAUUCAAUUAAGUUAAUUAAUCAAAUUAAUUUGGGGUGUUACAGUUAUGGGUACUUACAUACCUAAAGGACACGAGAAGAGUGUUGAUAUUGAUACCGAAGCGGGUAUGAACUCGAAUACGGGGAUAUUUUCAAUAUAUUAGUAUGAGAAUGAGUACUAUAGUACCCUAUCCAAACCUUAUCCAUUGUCAUCUCUAGUUUGUGUUUCUCUCUUUAACACGUAAUACAAUUAGAGUCGGGAUCCAUUUUAGUACGGAAAUUACAUAAUACAAAUUAAUUUUGUUAAAAUAAAAAAUCAUAUUUAAUCUCCUACAAAAUUUGACCGGGUCAUAUUAAUCACUCAGUUAAUAUUUUUUCAAACUAAUUUUUUUCCUACUUUUAAUCUGUAAUUGGUGUGUCAUGUGUAUUAUUUAUGCCACAUACAUUUUUUAAUGGGUAGUGUUAACUUGUACCCCAAUGGCACAUGUUAAAAAACCCACAAAUAAAAAAAUUGUAUUAAAAAAAACAAUAAAAACAUUAAUUAUAAAAUUAUAUUAAAUUUAAGACACAAUUUUCAAUAAUUUUUUACUAUAUUUAUCUCUUAACUUGUAUCCUUGGGGCACAAGUUAGCAUUACUCUUUUUUUAAUAAUAUGAGGACAUCUUAUGCCACAUGCAUUUUUUAAUAAAUACAAGGGUCAUAUUAAUCACUCUAAUUUUUUAUUUUUUAUUAUUUGAAUAUUAAAUUGACUUUUAUUUUUAUUUUUAAACAAUUUAGAUUUGAAAAUAUAAAAAAAAAAGUCAAAAUUUGUUAUUAGAAGAAAUUGAACUUAGGGACCUUUAAGUCACAUCCUAUGCUUUUACCUGUAGACUAAUUUAAAUUGAUGUCAAAUAAUUCACAUGAUUUAUAGUGAUAUUAAACAACUCUGAAUUUAAGAUUAAAAAAUAAUUUGAAAUAAGUAAAUAUGCAUUUGUGUUUGUGUGUUAUUUGAUAAGAUGUAAAUCUUAUUUUAAAUAGUAACACACAAAUAAAUAGGAUUAAUAAAUUUAAGUAAUGAAUUAAUUUUAUAAAAUAUUUAAAUAGAUCAAACUAAAUAAUAAUCAAUUAAUUUAAUAGUAGUUCAAUUAAAUAUUAAUACAUUGUUUUCUAUUUCAUUAGUUAUAUUUAGGAUUUACAUUUUAUUAAUUUUGAAAUAAAUUUAAUAUUUAUGUGUUAUUUGAAAUAAGAAAAUGAUUAAGUAUUUAUUAUGAAUUAUUAAUUUAAGUAUUCAUUCUUAGAAAUAUUAACAACAGAAACUAAUUGAUCAAGUGGUAAAGUGACUACCAUUUAACUUGAAGGGUUCGUGAAUUUUGUAUUUUUUGUUUUAAAUUCGUAAACAUUUAAUGGUACUACAAAUCACGGAGUUAUUUAUCACCAAUUUACAUUGACAUAGUGGUAAAGGCAUAUGAUGUGAAUUAAAGGUCUCUGGAUUCAAUUCUUUUUAAGAACAAUUUUUUAUAUAUUUUAAAAUCUAAAGUUUUUUAAAAUCAAAUUGAAAAAAAUUUAGUAUUCACAAAAAUGGAAAUUACAAAUAUAAUCCAAUAUAAUCAUCCACGUGAUUAUUUUGAAAAAUGUAAUUGACAUAAAUAUUACACAUGGAAAUCCAAUCACAUUCUUCUUCUUU
RNAcentral lists this long non-coding RNA (16256 nucleotides) under Lathyrus oleraceus (garden pea). Its description in RNAcentral is "Pisum sativum (pea) long non-coding RNA (PSAT_LNC019699)". Lineage: Eukaryota; Viridiplantae; Streptophyta; Magnoliopsida; Fabales; Fabaceae. The record is from RNAcentral.